Long non-coding RNA from Dermochelys coriacea (leatherback sea turtle), 3697 nucleotides. RefSeq lists it as uncharacterized. Lineage: Eukaryota; Metazoa; Chordata; Testudines; Dermochelyidae. The record is from RefSeq and is a predicted model, not a curated record. The transcript is spliced from 2 exons.
UUAACAUUCGUUGAGCACAGCCUCCCCCUGGCAAAACUCAGUGAGGCUGCAAGGAGCCUGGAGACUUGCACAUGCUCCCAAGUUGCUAGCAAGUAGCUCCAAAAAUUAACUUAUCAGCCUUUCAAUACAUGCAUCUCACCAACCACCCAGUCCUACUCCUCCGCCUUGAAUUCAACAGCAUGGAGCCAGAGGUGCCAUUACCAAGCUGAAUUAUGAGAGAGGAUAUUAAAGUCACAUCUUCCCCCCAACUCUCCUUCCUUCCCUGUGCUAUAGCCACAUAGCGUUGCUCACUCCAAAAUCUCUCUGCCUGCAGGAGCCCCCACAUAAAAAACCCACCCCUCAGCAGGCAGGCAGGAACUGUUGUGAAGUUACAGGGCACUUGCCACAGGUAGAUCCAUGCUCUAUCAAUGGAGUCACUCAGCCCAUUCCCACAGGAAACAGCUUCAAACUAUUAGCUUCAGCACUGAAAACCUGCUGCCACCUCCCAGAUCAGGCAUAAGAGCAAUUGGUGGGUCUCAGGACACAUGCCCAGAAAUAGGAGCUUUGCUGCUAUUUUUUCCAGCCCCUGCUGCUUAUAGCCCUAAACAGGAAACCCUAAUCCUUUGCAUGUGAUGUCACACCCAUCACCCCAGCAACCAAGGUGAUGUCAGAACCAGAACUUGGAUUUGAGAGCAACAGCAGGUGAAGUGAUCAGAGAAGAGGAGCUUGGCUCCCUGCCAACAGCCAGAAAAGGGGGCAUGUCAUGGUGCCCAAGGCAUGCAGGGUCCUGCCCCUCCACUGAGUGAGGCACAGAAAAGAAGCGGAGCACAGUCAUUCCAAGAGGGCUCUGGCACUAGGGCUGCUUGCCCCUCCAGGUUCAGUUUUCAAGCGACAGUAGGGGCAGACUGUUCUCACCAGGCAGGUGCAGUUCUUCCACAGGCUGAAGUCAACUACUCUGACUUGGCCUGGUGACACUCCCCUACUGGAAACCACCUCCCUCCCGCAAACCACGGAUGGCAGUGCCAGCUCUCAGUAAUGUGUGAAGGGGGGAGCUGGGACUCUGCGGGAAGGGGCCCUGCCUUCCCUGCCCCCCCACCCCACACACACAGAGGUCCCCGUGUGCCCAGGCAGCUCUCCGAGCCACUUCACCACAGCUUGGAGGGGGGCUAGGACCCACCCACAGUGCAUAUCUCCAGCAAACAGAGGGGAGAGACACAGCUCCCACCAUCAGCGCGCCCUGUAGAGGCCUGGAGGGCCGCGGCUGUUGGGGCUUGUUUCAGCACAUAGGAAGUCAUUUUAGCCAGUGGUUCCAAGUAGGAGCCUAGUAACAUCCUGAGAGAGCACAUGCUGGAGCAGUGGCUGGCAGAAUAUGCUUGUGGCUCAGUCCAAGUGUCCAGACUCCAACUAGAAAAGGGAGAAAAGCAGCCCACUCCAGCUGGAAGUGCAAAACUGAUUUAACUUACACCCUCCGUUAAAACAUGCCCCAGCCCCUUGCUUUCACCCCAGCCUGUGCUGCCCAAACAUGCUGGGGAGGAAAGCAACACUAGAAUGGCUCCAGCUAUUGCUAAAGUGCUGGAACAAACCCUGGCCUUCGUACACAACCCCCCCAUAGGCCACAGCUUGGCAGAGCAGAUGCCAUAGCAGGGCAAGUGGCCCCUGCGAGGAGCCAUUAAAGGGGCACCACGUACAUGCCUGGUAAUCCCUAAAGCCUGCACCAGCACAAGAGGAGGAGGAGGAGGAGUUAAACACCAUUGUUCACAGCCUUAGUAUCCUCGGUGUACCUGACAGCACUUUGGUCGAGCUGUGUCUGCACUUCCCCUUGCACGUGGGGCUGCCACAGCAAUAGGGUGUGGACAACCCACUUCUAAAGGCAGGAAAAUGCAACAGUAAAUCCACAGACUUCAGCAGCUGUGGAGGGAGGGGAUGAACUGAGGGCAGGAGGGAUUAAGAGCAAGUGAAUGUGGGGAGCAUAAAGGCUGGUGGGAGGCAGGGGGAGCAAUGCAUGGAGGGCAGAAUGAAGGCACCCUGCAUGGGCCCUGGAAUUGUGUUUAGAACUAAUUUGCUGACCCUGACUAGCACUGCAGCUGAUGGGAGGCCUAGCCUGUGCUUGCUGAUGGGCAAUCCCAGCUCCUGCACCUGGCAGCAGAUUGAGAGGGGCUGGAGCAAAUCAGAUAGCAGAGGUGGGUGUUACAGAUGAGCCUCCACAAGGGCACUGAUUCAGAGAAAACCCUGGUAUGCAGCCACCCUCCCAUGCUAGCUGGAGUCCCUCCCAGCAGGAGGCUGCAGGGCAUGGGUUAGAUUCCCUUUUCUAGGGCCUCAGCAGGAGCAUGCCUGCAGUUUCCAGCAAGGGGGCAAGUUCACCUCCAGCCAGGCAGUACUAGCACCCAGCCAUAGCAUGAACCCAUGCAGUCUCUUAUGCUGAGGUAUUGUCCCAGAGAACUGCUCCCAGCUGAGAGCCAUCCUCAUUGUCCAGAUGGAGACAGUCCAGCAGCAGGAUUUGACUGGGGUUAUUGGAGGGGGCUUCCCAGGGAGAAACAAACACUUUCUCCACCAGUAUGCAAGACCUGCUCUGCCCCAGGGAUAGGAGAGUGUCUGUACAGUCAGGCUCUCUGUGGUUUCGGGCUGGAGCAGGCCCCUGUGCUGAGGGUAAGCCAACCACUGUGUUCUCCCUUCACAACCCCAGGGGAGACAGCUCCACAUACCCUCUGGCGACCGAGCUGCUACCCCUUUCCAGCCGCCUUCCUUUCCUUCAAGUGGCCAACGCUCCCUGCUGGCUGGACAGGGCUAAACACUUGAGUGCCCCUCAUGCAGCUCAGACAAGUGGCUAGGAGCACCCAAAAACAAGUCCCAAGGCCCCCAGUGAGGGGAAGCUGAGGGUGAGCUGCUAGAGAGUGGCUCAGACGGAGGAAGAAGGGGGAUCCUGAAGUUUGGGAUGGGCACUGCCCAAGGCACAGAGUGGGAGCCAGGCCCCAUUGGCAGAGCUACACCCAGGAUUCCUGGGGAGCUUAGAUGCAGCAGGCAGACGAACGUGACUGGUAGGUGGAUGCCCAGGGGAGGGCUCUCAGUGUUCAUAGCAGAAACCUGAUCCAGGCCUAUGGAAGUGCAAAAUUUACAGAGGAGCCACCCUGGCCCAAGAGAGGAAAGCACCUUUCACUCCUCUGCAUGCUUAUGGCUCACCAGGCAGCCGAGAACCCAGGGGCUUGGCUGGGCUAAUCCUAGGCUCCUAAACAGACCUGCCAAACCCACAAGAGAAAAAACAGAAUUUGGGCUUGUUUUUUGGCUUAAUUGACUUGUGAAUUGCUUGUUAGCUAGUUUUUGUUUUCUAGUUUGUUGCUUCUUUAUUGUGAUUGGCUCCUGGGAAGCAGGGGCAAGGGGGGGGGGGAAGAGUCAGGGGUGCACAGAGGGCUCACCACAGUCCCAGACUGCAGGCCGGGGAUCUAAUCACCGAGUGUUGGGGUUCUUAGGGACUGGCUUGUUUUGAAAUGGGAUUAGCUUGAUUUUUGGCUUAUUGUGAAAGUCGGAGAGCUAAUUUACCACGUGAAAGUUGAUGACUGUACUCCUGGGCAAAGCAGCACAGCUCUCCCCAAGCAGGUUUGUGUACCAGGCUGCUAGGCAGAGACGGCGGGAGAAGGAGGCGGCAGCGGGCAGUGUGUUGUGCUCACUGUAUUCACCUCUGCACGGCAGCAACAGACAUGACAUAACUUACAUUUAACAAAAA